Molecule: RNase P RNA, 351 nt
Filed under: Candidatus Saccharimonadota bacterium
Lineage: Bacteria; Candidatus Saccharimonadota
Description: RNase P RNA component class A
Rfam family: Bacterial RNase P class A
About the family: Ribonuclease P (RNase P) is a ubiquitous endoribonuclease, found in archaea, bacteria and eukarya as well as chloroplasts and mitochondria.
Source: RNAcentral
AAGCUCGUUGAUGUAGUCGCUGGCCUUUUGGCGAGAGGAAAGUCCGGGCAGUACAGGAUACGGUAGUUGCUAACGGCAACCGCGCGCAAGCGUAGGAAUAGUGCCACAGAAACAAUACCGCCACAGCUUCGGCUGUGGCAAGGGUGAAAAGAGUGGGGUAAGAGCCCACAGAUUGCAGUGGCGACAUUGUAAUGGGGUAAACUCUACCGACUGCAAGGAGACCUAUACACCUUGAUCCGAGGAUGGUCGCUCACCGCUAGACCACGCAAGCAAUUGUGUGGCUAGAUAGAUGACUACAGGCUUUCGCUUCGGCGGGAGUUACAGAACCCGGCUUACAAGACGGGCUUACUA